RNAcentral lists this ribosomal RNA (440 nucleotides) under uncultured bacterium. RNAcentral describes it as "bacterial SSU rRNA". It matches the Rfam family "Bacterial small subunit ribosomal RNA", at positions 8 to 455 of the family's 1533-position model. The record is from RNAcentral.
AGAGUUUGAUCCUGGCUCAGCCUAACGCUGGCGGCGUGGCUAAGACCUUGCAAGUCGCACGGAGGUAGCAAUACCUCAGUGGCGAACGGGUGAGUAAUGAAUCGCUAAUGUACCCCGGACUCUGGGAUAGCUACCCGAAAGGGUAGGUAAUACCAGAUGAUAUGCAGCUGUCGCAUGACAGUUGCCUCAAAGGUCCGCCGGUCUGGGAGCAGGCGAUUUCGUAUCAGCUAGUUGGUGAGGUACCGGCUCCACCAAGGCGACAACAGCGUAGCCGGACUGAGAGGUUGGCCGGCCACAUUGGGACUGAGACACUGCCCAGACUCCUACGGGGGGCUGCAGUAACGAAUCUUCCGCAAUGCACGAAAGUGUGACGGAGCGACGCCGCGUGUGGGACGAAGCCCUUCGGGGUGUAAACCACUGGCAGGGGAAAGAAAGUUCUG